GGGUUGUGAGGUUAAGCGACUAAGCGUACACGGUGGAUGCCCUGGCAGUCAGAGGCGAUGAAGGACGUGCUAAUCUGCGAUAAGCGUCGGUAAGGUGAUAUGAACCGUUAUAACCGGCGAUUUCCGAAUGGGGAAACCCAGUGUGAUUCGUCACACUAUCAUUAACUGAAUCCAUAGGUUAAUGAGGCGAACCGGGGGAACUGAAACAUCUAAGUACCCCGAGGAAAAGAAAUCAACCGAGAUUCCCCCAGUAGCGGCGAGCGAACGGGAGGAGCCCAGAGCCUGAAUCAGUGUGUGUGUUAGUGGAAGCGUCUGGAAAGGCGCGCGAUACAGGGUGACAGCCCCGUACACAAAAAUGCACAUGCUGUGAGCUCGAUGAGUAGGGCGGGACACGUGGUAUCCUGUCUGAAUAUGGGGGGACCAUCCUCCAAGGCUAAAUACUCCUGACUGACCGAUAGUGAACCAGUACCGUGAGGGAAAGGCGAAAAGAACCCCGGCGAGGGGAGUGAAAAAGAACCUGAAACCGUGUACGUACAAGCAGUGGGAGCACAGAGCAAUCUGUGUGACUGCGUACCUUUUGUAUAAUGGGUCAGCGACUUAUAUUCUGUAGCAAGGUUAACCGAAUAGGGGAGCCGAAGGGAAACCGAGUCUUAACUGGGCGUUAAGUUGCAGGGUAUAGACCCGAAACCCGGUGAUCUAGCCAUGGGCAGGUUGAAGGUUGGGUAACACUAACUGGAGGACCGAACCGACUAAUGUUGAAAAAUUAGCGGAUGACUUGUGGCUGGGGGUGAAAGGCCAAUCAAACCGGGAGAUAGCUGGUUCUCCCCGAAAGCUAUUUAGGUAGCGCCUCGUGAAUUCAUCUCCGGGGGUAGAGCACUGUUUCGGCAAGGGGGUCAUCCCGACUUACCAACCCGAUGCAAACUGCGAAUACCGGAGAAUGUUAUCACGGGAGACACACGGCGGGUGCUAACGUCCGUCGUGAAGAGGGAAACAACCCAGACCGCCAGCUAAGGUCCCAAAGUCAUGGUUAAGUGGGAAACGAUGUGGGAAGGCCCAGACAGCCAGGAUGUUGGCUUAGAAGCAGCCAUCAUUUAAAGAAAGCGUAAUAGCUCACUGGUCGAGUCGGCCUGCGCGGAAGAUGUAACGGGGCUAAACCAUGCACCGAAGCUGCGGCAGCGACGCUUAUGCGUUGUUGGGUAGGGGAGCGUUCUGUAAGCCUGCGAAGGUGUGCUGUGAGGCAUGCUGGAGGUAUCAGAAGUGCGAAUGCUGACAUAAGUAACGAUAAAGCGGGUGAAAAGCCCGCUCGCCGGAAGACCAAGGGUUCCUGUCCAACGUUAAUCGGGGCAGGGUGAGUCGACCCCUAAGGCGAGGCCGAAAGGCGUAGUCGAUGGGAAACAGGUUAAUAUUCCUGUACUUGGUGUUACUGCGAAGGGGGGACGGAGAAGGCUAUGUUGGCCGGGCGACGGUUGUCCCGGUUUAAGCGUGUAGGCUGGUUUUCCAGGCAAAUCCGGAAAAUCAAGGCUGAGGCGUGAUGACGAGGCACUACGGUGCUGAAGCAACAAAUGCCCUGCUUCCAGGAAAAGCCUCUAAGCAUCAGGUAACAUCAAAUCGUACCCCAAACCGACACAGGUGGUCAGGUAGAGAAUACCAAGGCGCUUGAGAGAACUCGGGUGAAGGAACUAGGCAAAAUGGUGCCGUAACUUCGGGAGAAGGCACGCUGAUAUGUAGGUGAAGCGACUUGCUCGUGGAGCUGAAAUCAGUCGAAGAUACCAGCUGGCUGCAACUGUUUAUUAAAAACACAGCACUGUGCAAACACGAAAGUGGACGUAUACGGUGUGACGCCUGCCCGGUGCCGGAAGGUUAAUUGAUGGGGUCAGCGCAAGCGAAGCUCUUGAUCGAAGCCCCGGUAAACGGCGGCCGUAACUAUAACGGUCCUAAGGUAGCGAAAUUCCUUGUCGGGUAAGUUCCGACCUGCACGAAUGGCGUAAUGAUGGCCAGGCUGUCUCCACCCGAGACUCAGUGAAAUUGAACUCGCUGUGAAGAUGCAGUGUACCCGCGGCAAGACGGAAAGACCCCGUGAACCUUUACUAUAGCUUGACACUGAACAUUGAGCCUUGAUGUGUAGGAUAGGUGGGAGGCUUUGAAGUGUGGACGCCAGUCUGCAUGGAGCCGACCUUGAAAUACCACCCUUUAAUGUUUGAUGUUCUAACGUGGACCCGUAAUCCGGGUUGCGGACAGUGUCUGGUGGGUAGUUUGACUGGGGCGGUCUCCUCCUAAAGAGUAACGGAGGAGCACGAAGGUUGGCUAAUCCUGGUCGGACAUCAGGAGGUUAGUGCAAUGGCAUAAGCCAGCUUGACUGCGAGCGUGACGGCGCGAGCAGGUGCGAAAGCAGGUCAUAGUGAUCCGGUGGUUCUGAAUGGAAGGGCCAUCGCUCAACGGAUAAAAGGUACUCCGGGGAUAACAGGCUGAUACCGCCCAAGAGUUCAUAUCGACGGCGGUGUUUGGCACCUCGAUGUCGGCUCAUCACAUCCUGGGGCUGAAGUAGGUCCCAAGGGUAUGGCUGUUCGCCAUUUAAAGUGGUACGCGAGCUGGGUUUAGAACGUCGUGAGACAGUUCGGUCCCUAUCUGCCGUGGGCGCUGGAGAACUGAGGGGGGCUGCUCCUAGUACGAGAGGACCGGAGUGGACGCAUCACUGGUGUUCGGGUUGUCAUGCCAAUGGCACUGCCCGGUAGCUAAAUGCGGAAGAGAUAAGUGCUGAAAGCAUCUAAGCACGAAACUUGCCCCGAGAUGAGUUCUCCCUGACUCCUUGAGAGUCCUGAAGGAACGUUGAAGACGACGACGUUGAUAGGCCGGGUGUGUAAGCGCAGCGAUGCGUUGAGCUAACCGGUACUAAUGAACCGUGAGGCUUAACCUUACAACGCCGAAGGUGUUU
Molecule: ribosomal RNA, 2932 nt
Filed under: Escherichia coli
Lineage: Bacteria; Pseudomonadati; Pseudomonadota; Gammaproteobacteria; Enterobacterales; Enterobacteriaceae
Description: bacterial LSU rRNA
Rfam family: Bacterial large subunit ribosomal RNA
Source: RNAcentral